RNAcentral lists this long non-coding RNA (402 nucleotides) under Aquilegia coerulea. Its description in RNAcentral is "long non-coding RNA (ACOE_LNC000357)". Lineage: Eukaryota; Viridiplantae; Streptophyta; Magnoliopsida; Ranunculales; Ranunculaceae. The record is from RNAcentral.
CACGUACAUUCCUCAUCACGGCGCAAUUCUCAUCCCGGUAUGGUUCUUGCUACAAAAUUCCAAGAAUAGCACAUGAAGACUUCUGGAUUCCCUAGGCGCAAGAAUAGCACAUUCUUGCUUUAACCACCAGCACGUGCUUUUCUUUACUCUCUUCUUCUCCAAACUCUCUGCGUUCUUUUUAUUUUCUUGAAGGUUUCCGACUUACUCUUCUGUCACCGCUCAGCAAAGGAUUGCUUUCCUGUUACUUCUCCACAAUCUCAAGUUCUUUUUCUUUCCCCUUUCCUCUUCUCUCCUUUGUUUUAGACUAGAAUUUUGGUUGCUAUUAAUUUUUCUUUCUCCCCUCACCUGAUCUUAGUCGGCACCUUCUACUCUUAUUUUCCCUUUCUUCUCUUACUUUAGGAU